UACGGAGGGAGCUAGCGUUAUUCGGAAUUACUGGGCGUAAAGCGUACGUAGGCGGCUUUGCAAGUUAGAGGUGAAAGCCUGGAGCUCAACUCCAGAACUGCCUUUAAAAACUGCAUCGCUUGAAUCCAGGAGAGGUGAGUGGAAUUCCGAGUGUAGAGGUGAAAUUCGUAGAUAUUCGCAAGAACACCAGUGGCGAAGGCGGCUCACUGGCCCGGUACUGACGCUGAGGUGCGAAAGCGUGGGGAGCAAACAGGG
This 255-nucleotide ribosomal RNA is filed under the name uncultured bacterium. RNAcentral's name for it is "partial 16S ribosomal RNA". It matches the Rfam family "Bacterial small subunit ribosomal RNA", at positions 524 to 777 of the family's 1533-position model. The record is from RNAcentral.